GAUGAACGCUGGCGGUAUGCUUAACACAUGCAAGUCGAACGGACUCUUCGGAGUUAGUGGCGGACGGGUGAGUAACGCGUGAGAAUCUGGCUUUGGGUUCGGGACAACCACUGGAAACGGUGGCUAAUACCGGAUGUGCCGAGAGGUAAAAGAGAAAUUGCCUGGAGAUGAGCUCGCGUCUGAUUAGCUAGUUGGUGAGGUAAAGGCUCACCAAGGCAGCGAUCAGUAGCUGAUCUGAGAGGAUGACCAGCCACACUGGGACUGAGACACGGCCCAGACUACUACGGGAGGCAGCAGUGGAGAAUUGUCCGCAAUGGGCGAAAGACUGACGGAGCAAUACCGCGUGAGGGAAGAAGGCUCUUGGGGUGUAAAACUCUUUUCUUAGGGAAGAACAAAAUGACGGUACCUAAGGAAUCAGCAUCGGCUAACUCCGUG
This 435-nucleotide ribosomal RNA is filed under the name uncultured bacterium. Its description in RNAcentral is "partial 16S ribosomal RNA". It matches the Rfam family "Bacterial small subunit ribosomal RNA", at positions 28 to 507 of the family's 1533-position model. The record is from RNAcentral.